ACUCCUACGGGAGGCAGCAGUGGGGAAUCUUGGACAAUGGGCGCAAGCCUGAUCCAGCCAUGCCGCGUGAGUGAAGAAGGCCCUAGGGUCGUAAAACUCUUUCGCCAGGGAUGAUAAUGACAGUACCUGGUAAAGAAACCCCGGCUAACUCCGUGCCAGCAGCCGCGGUAAUACGGAGGGGUUAGCGUUGUUCGGAAUUACUGGGCGUAAAGCGUACGUAGGCGGAUUAGUCAGUCAGAGGUGAAAUCCCAGGGCUCAACCCUGGAACUGCCUUUGAUACUGCUAGUCUUGAGUUCGAGAGAGGUGAGUGGAAUUCCAAGUGUAGAGGUGAAAUUCGUAGAUAUUUGGAGGAACACCAGUGGCGAAGGCGGCUCACUGGCUCGAUACUGACGCUGAGGUACGAAAGUGUGGGGAGCAAACAGGAUUAGAUACCCUGGUAGGAUAGCG
This 447-nucleotide ribosomal RNA is filed under the name uncultured bacterium. Its description in RNAcentral is "bacterial SSU rRNA". It matches the Rfam family "Bacterial small subunit ribosomal RNA", at positions 335 to 799 of the family's 1533-position model. The record is from RNAcentral.